GGUUUGUAGCUCAGUCGUAGAGGGCUUGCCUAGCAUGCUUGAGGCACUGAGUUCAAUCCUCAGCACCA
Molecule: transfer RNA, 68 nt
Filed under: Marmota monax (woodchuck)
Lineage: Eukaryota; Metazoa; Chordata; Mammalia; Rodentia; Sciuridae
Description: tRNA.Ala
Source: RNAcentral